UCAUGCCACUACACUCCAGCCUGGGUGAUAGAACGAGACUCUGCCCACCAAAAAAUAAAAAGCCAGGAAACACACAUACUCACACCCCUGCAUCCAGACUCACACCAGAGUCACCCACACCCACAUCCAGGCACACACUCACACAAGAACACACACCCGAAGAGACAGAGAGGCGCUCAUUCUUGACAAACUUAUACAGGAUUUUGCAAUCUGAAAAUUCAGAAUAAGGCUAUUUGAAUUCCAGUAUCAAUAUCAGUUUUGUGUCAUUCUGCAAAAUACUGUUUUGUUGUGAAUUGAACAGUGAGGGGCUGGGACAGUGACUGGGGGCAUCACCAUAGUCAAUGCUUAGAGCCUCAAAAGGUUGUAAUCUGGCUCUGGGGAGGAGUGAGGCUGAGCUGAGUCUCCCACGGUCUUUAGAAUGUGUCCUGGCAGGAGGACUGAGAACAGGCUGGUCAGGACUGGAGUCAGCUAAUGGACAGACAGGGACCAGAGACUGUUGCUGGGGGAAAUGCGGCUUUAUGCAAGUAUCUCGGGCUGGGCAGGGGAAUCACCCAGACUGCUUACCCCUCACUCCUCAUGCUCAGCAUGUCAAGGGCCCAAGUCUUCCUUUUCUGUCACUCUCUCUGUCAUUCCUGAAUAGAUAUCACCCUAUAGAUGUCUGAUGUGAAAUUGCAUUGGCAGUAAUAGGACAUGGGUCUGUCCUGGGUGCAGGAUGAAGGCAGGAAGGCUGAUAGAACAGAUUUUUAUGAUCAUACAUCCCACUGGGGUGAAUGCAACAUCAUCCCAUGUUAUAUUGGGGACUAAUUCAGUCCAGCCAUUUCCAGGACCUUUGCUGGGAGGUUGAAGCCUCAGGGCUCAGUGCCAGCUGGCUGGGGUGAGAUUGGGAGCAGUCCAUUAGCCAUGAGUUGCCGAUCUGCAUCUGCACCUGCUCCAGCUGGGCUUUGGCAGCCGUGAUUCCUGAACUGAUGCAUGGCUCUGCUUGCAUGGACCAAGCUUGCAACAUCUUUCCACAAUAAAACCGUGAUGGGAGUUAAUAGUGUGAAUCGCUGUUCAAUUGAACAGGGUCCAUAAAAUGUUUAUGAGGCAUAACCAAGGGGGCUGAAUGGGUGGCCAGCGCUUGGCUUUUGGCCAGGGGUAACACCUGGGGUGUCCCUAGCCAGGGCGAUAUCUUAAGAAUUUCUGAUGUUGUGCACUCAGAUCGACUUCUUUUAGAACUGUUCCAAGGUGUUUAGGAGGUAGACUUAUUCACUUGGGAAGUCUUUCUUUGUUUUUUGUUUUUUUAGAGACAGAAUCUUGCUCUGUCACUCAGAUUGGAGCACAGUGGUGCAAUCAUAGCUCACUGCAGCCUCAAACUCCUGGGCUGACAUGAUCCUCCCACCUCAGCCUUCAGAUUAGCUGGGACUACAGGUGUGGCUGAUUAAAAAUUUUCUUUUUUUGUAGAGACAGGGUUUCACUAUAUUGCUCAGCCUGGUCUUAAACUUCUGGGCUCAAGUGAUCUUUCCAUCUCGGCCUCCCAAAGCACUGGGAUUACAGAUGUGAGCCACCAGCACACCCGGCCAUCAUUUGGGAAUUCUUGCUGGUGGUUAUUAAAUCUGCUAAUGUCCUUAGUUUCUUCUACUAACAUUCAGAGCAUUCUAGUUUCUGGGAGAGUAAGUAGAAACCACCGGAUAUACAAUUGCAUUAGUCAGGAUUACUGUUACUAGUUGCUGCAACUAAAUAGCCUUAAAUCACCACUGGUUUACACAACACAGGCUUAUUCCUUGCUCAUGCUGCAUCUCCAGUGAGAGCCAACAGGAGUGUCUCUCUGCUCCAUAUAGUCACUCAGGGCCCCAGGCUAGAGGAGACAUUACAGAAGACAUGUUGUCUUUGAGAUCUCUAUGGAAGGAAGAGAGGAAUGGAUGAGGCAUGCUGGCCUUAACUGCCUUGACCUGGAGGUAACACAUGUCAUUUUUGUCACAGUCUCUGAGAGAGGAGAAAGAAACCGGACAGGCAGGCAGUUAGAGUGGGUCCUCAGUUGAAUUCUUUCAAACAAAAGAACAGCCUGAAAAAUCAAGCUGCAGGCACAAAUAAGGGAACUUGCACAGGGGGGCUUGCCUGAGACAUGCGCACAGCUCCACAGAUAAAAAAGCCUACACAGGUGACUUGCCUAGACAUGCCCACAAUGGAAAAGUACAUCUCCUGACAAAUGUGCAGUAAGGGGAACAAAGCAAUAUAGAGAACUCAAGCUAAGGGGCUGCAUGUGCAUUAGGAGAAUGGGGUGGGGAGCUACCAGAAGUUUGUGCCUUUAUGCAAAUGAGAUACCCAGCCCUCAUCAGUUUCUUAUAAAAGCCUUUGCAUUCAACUGUAAAAACAGCAACCCAUUUGGGCUCCCUCUCUGCUGCAGAGAGCUUUCUUUCACUUAUUAAACUUUCACUCCUACCUCACCCUAUGUGUCCACGCUCCUUAAUUCUCUUGGUCAUGAGACAAAGAACUCCGACUGACACCUCACAAAGAGAGACUGCUACAUUGUGGUGCAUUGGGGAGACUGCAACAUCUCUGUGUGGAAAAAACAGUGUUUUUUUGAGGCUCUCUCUCUUGCACAGACUGGAGUGCAGUGGCACGAUCUCGGCUCACUGCAACCUCUGCCUCCUAGGUUCAAGGAAUCCUCUCACCUCAGCCUCCCAAGUAGCUGGGAUUACAAAUGUGUGUCACCACACCCAGCUCAUUUUUGUAUUUUUAGUAGGGGUUUCACCAUGUUGGCCAGGCUGGUCUCGAACUCCUGACCUCAAGUGAUCUGCCCAAUUCGGCCUCCCAAAGUGCUGGGAUUACAAGCGUGAGCCACCACACUCAGCCACAAGCUGGUUUUUCUCUGCUCUCACCCCACAACAACCAACACGGAAGACUUCUGUGACCAAAUGUUUAGGGAUUUCUCCCCACUAGCAAACACGUAAUUCAUUCUGCAGCAGAUACUAGCUGGGCAUCCUCUCCUUGGAGACAGCAUCUGAUCCCAUAGGUUGAGAAAUCAGCCCCCAAGACUACUCCCUACUUUGAUGCCAAUCACAAGCCCCAGGUUGUUUUAUCUGUGCUUCUGACUGGUGACUAUAAAUCAGGGUUCCCACAACUCCCUCUUUGGGUUUGCUUAAUUUGCUGGAGUGGCUCACAGAACUCAGGGAAACACUUACAUUUACUGGUUUAUUAUAAAAGAUGUUCCAAAGGCUACAGAGGAAGAGGACUGUGAACCCCGAGCAUUUGAGACAGGUCUCGGUAAAUUUAGAAAGCUUAUUUUACCAAGGUUGAGGAUGCACACCCAUGACACAGCCUCAGGAAGUGCUGACGUCAUGUGCCCAAGGAGGUCGGGGCACAGCUUGGUUUUAUGCAUUUCAGGGAGACGUGAGACAUCAAUCAAUAUAUGUAAGAAGUACAUUGGUUUGGUCUGGAAAGACAGGACAACUUGAAGCAAAGGCUGGAAGACUGCAAGCAGGGAGGAGGCUUCCCGGUCAUAGAGGUGCUGGUUACGUGGGAAUUUGAUUUGUCAAAACUGAUUGAAUGACACAGGAUGUAUUUUGUUUUGCUUGUUAAACAAGUAACUCUACAAAUCGGAAAACGUGCCUUGUCAGUAUACCCCAGGUAUGGAGUUUUCGUUGAUCAAAUAUGGUCCCUGGAGGUCUGUUUAGGGACCAGGCAGGGUUUUUUUUCUAGCACUUUGUAGGAGCAAAGAACCAAGGCCAGGGCUGGGCGCGGUGGCUCACACUUGUAAUCCCAACACUUCAAUGGGAAGACCACUUGAAGCCAGGAGUUUG
This 3779-nucleotide long non-coding RNA is filed under the name Homo sapiens (human). Its description in RNAcentral is "HSALNT0341397". The record is from RNAcentral. Lineage: Eukaryota; Metazoa; Chordata; Mammalia; Primates; Hominidae.